AAAAAUUCUUAAGAACUCUCCCUUAGCCUUCUAUUCAUCCCAGCCUUGUACUUCCAGUCUUACUGUAAACUUUCUCCUGUUUAUCUUGGAAUAAUGAUAAUGUUUUAAGUAAGUUUUCAUCUUUGAUAUUUUGUACUCUGAUAUUGUAUUAAUUUUAUCAUAUUUCAUUUUUAUCUUGGUCCUGUUCCCCUUUUGGUAUCAGAGCCAUGAAGGCCUCAACUGGGUCAAGUUAAGAGGAACGAAAGGUCUGACCGUAUUGGCCUGCCUUUCAGGACGAACAUUUUUGAAAGGUGAAUUAGGUCUUGAGGGCUUCAUGACCCUGCAGGAAUUCACGGGUUAAGAAAUUAGGAAGGGAGUUAUUUUCUCCUUUAAUAUAUUCAAUUUUAAAAUCAAAGCUAGAUAGUAGAGCUUGCCAUCUAGCAAAUUUUUGUUUUGAAACCAAAUUCGUAACGUCCUUAAAUAAAUUUCUUUCGCAGAUUUGCAAUCUACACGAAGUAAAAAAGGUUUGUUAACCAAAUCAUCUUGAAACUUUGUGAUACAUAGCACUAUAGAUAAAACUUCUUUUUUAACAGUGCUAUUAUUUCUUUCGCAGAUUUGCAAUCUACACGAAGUAAAAAAGGUUUGUUAACCAAAUCAUCUUGAAACUUUGUGAUACAUAGCACUAUAGAUAAAACUUCCUUUUUUAUAGUGCUAUAAUUUCUUUGAGUAGAGUUCCAGACUCCAGAAGUAAAUCUAACUAAUUGUUCACCUUUUUCAGGACUAAUACAUUGCUUAAGAAUACCACCAUAACCAUGGUCAGAAGCAUCAGUUUCAACAAUCAUGAAAGCUUCUGGGUUAGGGAUACCAAGACAAGGAAGAUUUUUAACUAUCUUUUUAAUUUUU
This 882-nucleotide long non-coding RNA is filed under the name Nicotiana benthamiana. RNAcentral's name for it is "long non-coding RNA (NBEN_LNC029797)". The record is from RNAcentral. Lineage: Eukaryota; Viridiplantae; Streptophyta; Magnoliopsida; Solanales; Solanaceae.